This 253-nucleotide ribosomal RNA is filed under the name uncultured bacterium. RNAcentral's name for it is "partial 16S ribosomal RNA". It matches the Rfam family "Bacterial small subunit ribosomal RNA", at positions 524 to 776 of the family's 1533-position model. The record is from RNAcentral.
UACGGAGGGGGCUAGCGUUGCUCGGAAUCACUGGGCGUAAAGCGCACGUAGGCGGCCUCUUAAGUCGGGGGUGAAAUCCUGGAGCUCAACUCCAGAACUGCCUUCGAUACUGGGAGUCUUGAGUUCGGGAGAGGUGAGUGGAACUGCGAGUGUAGAGGUGAAAUUCGUAGAUAUUCGCAAGAACACCAGUGGCGAAGGCGGCUCACUGGCCCGAUACUGACGCUGAGGUGCGAAAGCGUGGGGAGCAAACAGG